This 485-nucleotide ribosomal RNA is filed under the name uncultured bacterium. Its description in RNAcentral is "partial 16S ribosomal RNA". It matches the Rfam family "Bacterial small subunit ribosomal RNA", at positions 30 to 507 of the family's 1533-position model. The record is from RNAcentral.
AUUGAACGCUGGCGGCAUGCCUUACACAUGCAAGUCGAACGGCAGCACGGGUGCUUGCACCUGGUGGCGAGUGGCGAACGGGUGAGUAAUACAUCGGAACAUGUCCUGUAGUGGGGGAUAGCCCGGCGAAAGCCGGAUUAAUACCGCAUACGAUCUACGGAUGAAAGCGGGGGACCUUCGGGCCUCGCGCUAUAGGGUUGGCCGAUGGCUGAUUAGCUAGUUGGUGGGGUAAAGGCCUACCAAGGCGACGAUCAGUAGCUGGUCUGAGAGGACGACCAGCCACACUGGGACUGAGACACGGCCCAGACUCCUACGGGAGGCAGCAGUGGGGAAUUUUGGACAAUGGGCGAAAGCCUGAUCCAGCAAUGCCGCGUGUGUGAAGAAGGCCUUCGGGUUGUAAAGCACUUUUGUCCGGAAAGAAAUCCUGGCCCUAAUACGGUCGGGGGAUGACGGUACCGGAAGAAUAAGCACCGGCUAACUACGUG